Molecule: ribosomal RNA, 496 nt
Filed under: uncultured bacterium
Lineage: Bacteria
Description: partial 16S ribosomal RNA
Rfam family: Bacterial small subunit ribosomal RNA
Source: RNAcentral
GAUGAACGCUGGCGGCGUGCCUAAUACAUGCAAGUCGAGCGAACGGACGAGAAGCUUGCUUCUCUGAUGUUAGCGGCGGACGGGUGAGUAACACGUGGAUAACCUACCUAUAAGACUGGGAUAACUUCGGGAAACCGGAGCUAAUACCGGAUAAUAUUUUGAACCGCAUGGUUCAAAAGUGAAAGACGGUCUUGCUGUCACUUAUAGAUGGAUCCGCGCUGCAUUAGCUAGUUGGUAAGGUAACGGCUUACCAAGGCAACGAUGCAUAGCCGACCUGAGAGGGUGAUCGGCCACACUGGAACUGAGACACGGUCCAGACUCCUACGGGAGGCAGCAGUAGGGAAUAUUCCGCAAUGGGCGAAAGCCUGACGGAGCAACGCCGCGUGAGUGAUGAAGGUCUUCGGAUCGUAAAACUCUGUUAUUAGGGAAGAACAUAUGUGUAAGUAACUGUGCACAUCUUGACGGUACCUAAUCAGAAAGCCACGGCUAACUACGU